This 177-nucleotide non-coding RNA is filed under the name Candidatus Acinetobacter avistercoris. RNAcentral's name for it is "6S / SsrS RNA". It matches the Rfam family "6S / SsrS RNA". From Rfam's summary of the family: E. coli 6S RNA was the first non coding RNA to be sequenced, but its function was unknown until recently. It consists of 184 nucleotides that fold into an extended hairpin structure with a large single-stranded internal bulge. Lineage: Bacteria; Pseudomonadati; Pseudomonadota; Gammaproteobacteria; Moraxellales; Moraxellaceae. The record is from RNAcentral.
AUCUCUGGGAUGUUUGCCAGCGGGUCUAUUCCCCUGCCGAUACUAACACCUACGGAUGUGUUCUGUAUAUUUAGAGUGUAUGCCUUCCUUCGUGUAGGUAACCCAGCAAGUAUGCGUCACAUCCACCUUGAACUCGUCGGGUUCAGGGUAACGACAUGCAGCGGCAUCUUCGGAGUG